RNAcentral lists this ribosomal RNA (450 nucleotides) under uncultured bacterium. RNAcentral's name for it is "bacterial SSU rRNA". It matches the Rfam family "Bacterial small subunit ribosomal RNA", at positions 29 to 524 of the family's 1533-position model. The record is from RNAcentral.
AACGAACGCUGGCGGCAGGCCUAACACAUGCAAGUCGAACGCCGUAGCAAUACGGAGUGGUUGACGGGUGAGUAACACGUGGGAACGUACCUUUCGGUUCGGAAUAACUCAGGGAAACUUGAGCUAAUACCGGAUACGUGCGAGAGCAGAAAGAUUUAUCGCCGAAAGAUCGGCCCGCGUCCGAUUAGCUUGUUGGUGAGGUAAUGGCUCACCAAGGCGACGAUCGGUAGAUGGUCUGAGAGGAUGAUCAGCCACACUGGGACUGAGACACGGCCCAGACUCCUACGGGAGGCAGCAGUGGGGAAUAUUGGACAAUGGGCGAAAGCCUGAUCCAGCCAUGCCGCGUGAGUGAUGAAGGCCUUAGGGUUGUAAAGCUCUUUUGUCCGGGAAGAUAAUGACGGUACCGGAAGAAUAAGCCCCGGCUAACUUCGUGCCAGCAGCCGCGGUAAU